CCACGAUGAAGCUGUGUCUUGCUGCCUUGCUUCUCUUGGCUACAUUGUGUGUGAAUUUUGCUCACUCCCUAGAAUGCCACGUGUGCUGCGGGCCUGAAAGCUGCCGGGCUCCCGUCGAAUGCUCCCCAACAGACAAGUACUGUCUUAUUACCCGGGCAAUCAACUCAAUCAACCCCAACCAUAUCCUGGUGAUGAAGUCCUGCGCCCCAACUUGCCCGAACAGCACCAUUUCAACCGAUGGACACGCCAUCUCUGUUGCCUGCUGCCAGGCAAAUAGAUGCAAUGGGAAGGUGGAGACAAAUGCUUCCACUAGCCUAGCCAUCAGCCAAGGGGUUCUGUGGGUGGGUCUCUCGGCCAGCCUCCUGUGGGUGCUCCUCCACGCUGGCUGGUGAGGAGAUUUUUCUUGUCCCUACCCUUCCACUGUCCCUAAAGUUUUCUGUUCCCAAGAUCUCUUCAAUCAGGACAGGAUUUCCAAUACCAAGGGGCAGAUUUCCUCCCAAGAAAAAAGAUCCACAGGAUAGGCUUUUGUUCCUUCUUCUAGUUCCUUCAGGGUAUCCAGAAGGAGGAACUCUGUCCUGUAGUCUCAUUCCUUGGGUAUGAAUCUGGCCAAUUCCCAGUAUUACUAUUUCUCUUUCUCCUUUUCUCUUCCCUUUCUUAUCUGGGAUGCUAAUCUUUUCCCUGCUGUUUUUCUGUCCCCUGAGGAUAGGGAAAAUUAUUUUUUUUCUGUUAGGGGUGGUACAGCCAUAAUUGGGAGGGGAAGGGAAGAGGUCAUGGGGGAACUGUGAAAUUUUAAUGUUUUAAUUAAACAAUCACUUCCUUCUUCUUUUCUACUCUGUCCUACUUAACAUUGAGUCCCUUUCCCCCCUUUAAUCCUUGGGAAGCUCAAUAUAACCCCCUCAGUGCCAGUCAGGGUGAAUGACCCAAUUAAAGAAGGCUUCACUAAAAGAAGCAGCUUUUAAACCCUCUUUAAAUGGAUCAUCCAUCAUAUAAUCAUGUGGUUUAGAGAUGGGGUAGAGAACUGAGAUGAAGAGUAUAUGAUUUCCUCAAACCUAUCCUAUAAGCAACAAUGGGUGGGGGGAGGGUAGAAUUAUCUCAGGCAUUAAUUUUCCCUAAAUGGAAAUAGGAGGGAAAGAAGCUGAGGAGCUGUGAUUAGGGUGAAGAGUACUCCAUUGCCUCAAUCAGAGAGCCCACCCUGAUGUAUCUACUUCCCUCACAGGGAUGUUGUGAGAGGAAAAAUAAUAAAUGAUUAAAAU
Long non-coding RNA from Sarcophilus harrisii (Tasmanian devil), 1253 nucleotides. NCBI's taxonomy places the organism in Eukaryota, Metazoa, Chordata, Mammalia, Dasyuromorphia, Dasyuridae. The record is from Ensembl.